Panthera uncia (snow leopard) is the source of this 855-nucleotide long non-coding RNA. RefSeq lists it as uncharacterized. The transcript has 3 exons. The record is from RefSeq and is a predicted model, not a curated record. Lineage: Eukaryota; Metazoa; Chordata; Mammalia; Carnivora; Felidae.
UGGCGCUCGUCCUCGUGACAAAAGAAAACUUCAGGCUCGGUUUUCCAGCUCGCAAACAGUUAAGUGACUUCCUGCAAACGCUAGAGUCCCAGCAACCAGCCUUCCAAUCAAAAGUGAGAAAGGAAUCUAGGACUCAUGGCUCUUCAGGAGGCUUGCCAUCAGCACAACUGGUUAAAAACACAUUGAUUGUCCUCACUGGGUGUGAAAGGUGCCUGCCUCUCUGUGAUGCAGAUCCACUGAAGUCCAACCAUGGCCCCACUGUCUGGUCCGGCACAAAUACCAGUGGGAUCUCUCCACGGUCUCCAUGAUGACUACCUGUACAGUCUCUUGGAUUUGCAUGAACUGACAUUGCACUGGGCACCUUCAGAUAGCCCUAGAGUUAACACUGGGAUUAUUCUAGAUACGAAGGAAAACCUGCAUCUUUCCUUGGACAUUGUAAUCAAGGAACUUGAAUGAAUCAACCAUCAUAGUUUUUUUAAAAAUACAAACCUUCCCCUCCCUUACUUCUGGUCUUCUUCUCUUUAAUUAAUUAUCUUUAAUUUAAUUUUGUUUGGACUGGACAUAACCCCUGAAUUCUUCCAACUCAGUCAUUUCAGAGUUAUAAAAGAAAGUAAUGAAAGAAAAUCGAGAUUUCGCACACAUGACUUUCUCUCAGAUAUUUAUAAGUGUAUCUGCUGCUUUGCUUUAGAAUAGCUUUUUUAACCCAGAAAUUCUAGAAUUAUAGAAUGCUUUCCCCUUUAUCUCUUUUCCCACUCAUUUCUGCUCCAGAUCCCUAUGUUUCUUUCAGGGAGCUAGGUAUGGAGGAAUACAGAAAUGAAAAGACAGUCUAGCCUCACUGAGGCUUAUAUGUUAAAA